This 8277-nucleotide long non-coding RNA is filed under the name Populus tremula. RNAcentral's name for it is "long non-coding RNA (PTRE_LNC001401)". The record is from RNAcentral. Lineage: Eukaryota; Viridiplantae; Streptophyta; Magnoliopsida; Malpighiales; Salicaceae.
AAUGAUGCAGAAGAAAGCGAUAUGACAAAUGGAUAUUUGGAGACAAAAAUAGACUGGAUUCCUGGAAUGAAAGAUAUUCGUCUGAAGGACCUUCCGACCUUCAUUCGCACAACAGAUCGAAACGACGUUAUGCUAAACUUUGUGAUAAGAGUAAUUGAUAGAGCUUCAAAAGCUUCAGCUGCUCUUUUGAAUACUUUUGAUGACUUAGAUCAUGAUGUUCUGGUUGCUCUCUCAUCUAUGUUUCCUCCGAUUUAUUCUGUUGGUCCUCUUAAUUUGCUUCUUGAUCAAACACAGAAUGAUCAUCUAGCAUCAAUUGGAUCCAGUCUGUGGAAAGAAGAGACUGAAUGCCUGCAAUGGCUGGACUCCAAGGAUCCCAAUUCUGUUGUCUACGUGAAUUUUGGAAGCAUCACUGUCAUGAAUCCACAGCAACUUGAGGAGUUUUCUUGGGGACUAGCUAACAGCAAGAAGAAUUUUUUAUGGAUAAUCAGGCCUGAUCUUGUCAGGGGCGAAUCAGCGGUUUUGCCUCCAGAGUUUCUUGAAGAGACUAGAGAGAGAGGCCUGAUGGCGAGCUGGUGUGCGCAGGAAAAAGUCCUGAAGCAUUCAUCGAUAGGAGGGUUUUUAAGUCACAUGGGGUGGAAUUCCACCAUUGAAAGCUUGUCCAACGGCGUGCCAAUGCUAUGCUGGCCUUUCUUCUCCGAACAACAAACUAACUGUAAGUUUGCUUGCGUUGAUUGGGGUGUUGGCAUGGAAAUUGAAAGUGAUGCAAAUAGAGAUGAAGUGGAGAAGCUUGUGAUAGAGUUAAUUGAUGGGGAGAAAGGUAAGGAAAUGAAAAGGAAGGCAAUGGAAUGGAAGUCAAAGGCUGAAGCGACAACAGGUGUUAAUGGUUCAUCAUCCAUGAAUUUUGACAAACUUGUCGACGACGUGCUCCGGUUCCAAAAACCUUGAAUUAGCUUCUUUGAUGAAAUUGUUGUUACAUCUGCAGGUUGUCUGCCUUUAGCUUUUUUACAUUCUGUUACAUACUCCACUUUUCCAUUCAGCCAAUUGAAUACAGAGUUAUUAAACCCGGCCCGGGGGUUGACCCGGCCAAGGGGCCGGGUCUCGGGUUUCAUGGGUCAACCCGGGUUGACCCGGAUUAACCCGUAAUAAUUAAAAAAAAAUUAAUAUUUCAUAUGAAAAAAUUCAUGUAAAUAUAGAUUAUACAUAUUAUAAAUAAUGAAGUUUAAAAUAAUAUUUUAAAAAGUUUUUUAUCCCACAUUAUAAAGAUAUUAUGUUAAGCUUUUAAGUUGAAGUAUUUAAAUUUAAAAAGUUUUUUAUCCUACAUUGAAAAAACAUAAUUUUUUUCAUGAGAACAUAGAGUAUAUAUAUGAAAAGACUUCAAAUCCCACAUUGAAAAGAUACUAUGUUAUCCCUUUAAGUUGAAGUAUUUAAACCAAAAGGUUUUUUAUCCCACAUUGAAAAAACAUGAUUUUUUCCUUGGGAACAUAGAGUAUAUAUACUAGUGGGUUUCAAAUCCCACAUUGAAAAAACAUAACUUUUUUCAUGGAAACAUAGAGUAUAUAUAUGAAAGGGCUUCAAAUCUCACAUUGAAAAGAUAUUAUGUUAUCCCUUUAAGUUGAAGUAUUUAAACCAAAAGGUUUUUUUUAUCCCAUAUUGAAAAAACAUGAUUUUUCCUUGGGAACAUAGAGUAUAUAUACUAAUGGGUUUCAAAUCCCACAUUGAAAAAAUAUAAUUUUUUUCAUGUGAACAUAGAGUAUAUAUAUGAAAGGGCUUCAAACCCCACAUUGAAAAGAUACAAUGCUAUCAUUUUAAGUUGAAAUAUUUAAACCAAAAUUUUUUUUAUCCCACAUUUAAAAAAAAAAAAAACCCGGGUCUCGUCCGGGUUUGCCCAGUCCCGGGUCGCCCGGGUUUGGCCGGGCUGUUGCCACAGCCGGUCUUUUAUUAAACCCGAACCGGUCCAGCCACCGGGUCGACCCGCCGGGCCGGGCCGGGUUUAAUAACUAUGAUUGAAUAUAUAGUUUGCCCAUAAUAGUUAGUAGUGUAUUGUUGAAUCGAGAGGACAUUGACAUACAGGUCCCCUAUUAGGCGUUGAUAUGCCUAACAUCGUCAUAUUACCCAAUUUCUCUAGAAGAAUUAGAUACAAUAUUUUGUGUCGCAAUCGCAAUUGUCAUAUUCCACAAGCUAGCAUACAUUAGGUAAUCCUGCCAACAGAGGCUCAUAUUCCACUAGAUAGCAUCUAAUUCCAUUAUGAUGAUGGUAUUUCCAUAAUUGAAAGCUACUAUGGACCUGCCCUACUCGCUCCUCCACCGAGCCAUAUUAUAACAAAAACAAUUUUUUUCUAAAAAAUAAGAAAGAACUCAAUUUAAAAUAUCAAAAUCAAUUAUAAAAAGUAACCUUUUUAUAAUCAACAUUAACCAUAAAGUAUUUUAUAACUAAUCAUCGAUCCAUAUAUAUAAAUUCACACUUUGAAUAUUCAUCAUUAACACUAUCUUAUUAUCUCUCUCAGUUGUAAUCAAUUAGAAAACAAGCAAUCUAAUUAAUCCUAACUACUAAACAAAUUAAGACAAGCACUAAAAUUUAAUCUAGUAGUAGUCUUAAAAAUUAAAGAAAUUGAAGAAGCUAACUAACAUAAGCACAAGCAGUUACAUUUAAUUUAGUCAAAAAAUCUUUCUAAAAUUUACUAAGUUCUAGCACAACAAACUAUCAAAUCUCAAUUGCUUCAUAAAUUAGAGAGAUCAAGCAAUUACACAUUUAAUAUAUAACCUAGUAUGUAGUAGAUUGCAAUGAAUAAUAAACUAGAGACCUCAUAGCAAUUAAACAAGACAAUCAUGAACAAUAUGCACUAAAACACAUACAAUACACAAAGCAUAAAUUAAACAAUGAAAACAAAUUAGAUCUUACAAUUGUAUUGAUUCUAAGGCUUCCAUUUCCUUCUAUCAAGUCAAAUUUAGUUCCACAAUACCAUCAUGAAUAUCAUAAAGAAGAGAAAGAAAUUAGGGAAGAGGGAAGAGAAAGAUAAAAGAGAGAGGGGAGACAAAAUCCGAUAUGAUCUCCCUUUUUCUCCUUUACACAUUUUUUUCCAUUUUAGAAGUCUACAAAAUCUUUUAAAAAUACUAUAUAAUAAUUAACCACCAAAUAUGAAUAUUUAAUCAAAUUAUUAAAUAAUAAAAUAGAGUUUUAAUAUAACAAUAAAAGUGAUGUCUUCAUCUUUAAUUCAUGGAUCAAGUCUAGAAGCUUCAGAAAUUAAUCACAUCAUAUUAUAUUUGCAAGCCUAAGGAUGUUCCAGCACAUUAGCAGCAUAGGUGCAACGUCUUUAUGCCAAAUUACAAACUCGAUGUAGUUAGUAUCUCUCCAAAUUAACUCAAAACAUGAAAGUUGUAGAUCUAUUCCUUAGGGUUUCAUAGCAUUUUGGAUCAUCUCAAUCAGAGCUUGGAUGAGAUAGUUCUAUCCCAAUUAUGAAGCUAUGUUAAAACUGCCCAGAAUCAUCCAAUUAACUUUAUUUUGCCAUUAACGGUUCCAUUUACAUCCUAAAUUAAAAUAUAAAAAUAAUGAGUAUAUUUAGGCAUCAAAUAAGUAUAAAAUACUGCACAUUAACAUAGAAAAAUAUGAUAUUUUGUAUUCUCAUCAAAUUCCCCCACACUUAACUUUUGUUCAUCCUUGAGGAAAACUUAGAUUCACUUUCCAUGAAAAAAAUAAAUAAAGGUUGCAAUGCCAUCAAUAAAGAAUAACAAAGCUCUUAAAAAAUAAUAACAUAUCAUGAAUAAAAAUUCUUAGACAACUUAUAAUUAUUAAAAAGCAUCUUCAUUCGAAGAUAGAGUAAGCUAAUUAAGUAGACCCUCAUAGAAAUAAACACUCAACUUUCAUGUGUUUGAAAGGUAUGUGUUUCGCUUAAAUUCAUUCUAAUGGAAAUCCUCUACCAUACCCUUGCAUAUCUUCCUAUUCUCCAUCACUAGGAUCACAUGUAUAACUCAAAUCAUAAAAACUUUUCAAGGUUUGUAACGAGGCUCAGGGAACAAAAGUACAUCAACUCAAACUCGAAUAUAUAAGACAUGUAAAAGCAUUCACUCCAUUUAGUAGCUUUUUCAAAUUGACUUUAAAGAAUUUAAACUAUGUAAAGCUCCUAUAUUAAAAAAGAGAUUGUUAAAAAGAAACACACCUUUAUGUGUGUAUAUAAUGUAUGAACAAACCUCUUUCUUGGAAUUUUAGGAGGAAUUAUGAACAUGAAUAGUUUAUAACAUUAAAAACAAUUCCUCCAUCAUUUUUUUUUCUUUUUUUACUCAAUACAUCAACAACAUAACUCAUGAAUUGAGAAUGAAAAUAUGCUCUGUAGGCAUAGCAAUACCAUCAACUAGGCUGCCUAGUGACUAAGCUGCCUCGGGCUGGAUCUGCCUUAGCCCAACCUAGUUGGUCGGGCCGAGUCCAGCCUGUCCCUAAAAUGCAGGAAGAAAAUAUGUUGGGCCGAGUCCGGCCCAACCAUUUUGGGCCUAUAAUCAACACACUUGUUUCUGGGCCUGUGUUGGGCCUAGCCCACAUGUGUUAAUAUAUUUAAUUACUUAAUAUAUAAUUAAAAAAACGAAAAUUUUCCAAAAUAAAUUUCAAAAAUCCUUUCAAAAAAUUUGUAAUUUUCUCAAAUAUUUUUCUACCAAUUUUGUUCAAUAUUGGAUUGUAUACUUACACUGUAAGAUACAAAUCCGGUAUUAAAAUACUCGGUUUUCUCUGAAAUAUUAAAAAAAAUUCAUAAAAAAAAAAUAAAUUUUAUCACAUACGGCCAAAUUCUAAAUUUUUUUCCAAGCAUAUUUUUCAUACAAAAAAAUGGAUAUUAUAACCAGUUUAUGAUUAUCCAUUAGGAUUUGGCCAACAUGUCAAAAAUCUUUUUUCCAAUUUUUUUUUCUUUUAGGAUCCAGAUGUAGACUUUAAUAUUUGUGGGGUGUAAAAUUACACGAUAAAGUACACCCUCGGGCAUUAAAGAUACAAAGUGUAAAAAUGCAGACUUUAGAAUGGUUAGGAUUUAACCGAAUAGGAUAGAGACUCUCUCACGAAGAGAGAUCUGCCUUGAACCUUAGAAAAAACCAAACAACAAUGCAGCUUACCUUAGGUAGGGUGCACUGGGGGUGAUGUGUCUUCCCUUGCACAACCAGUCUCUUACCUAGACUCCCGCAGACCAUAGGUUCCUAGUAACCAUAAUACCAGGUGGUGACUCCUAAAAAUUAAUCAUAAUUUUAUGAUUAAAUUCAAAAACCUUUCCCAACACACAAAACCUCACACAGGAGGCACAACAAAGCGUUUCCGUCGUCGCUAGACGACGUCGCGUCGGCACUCUCUCGCGACAAGACAAAUCAAAUGAUGUGGUGGAAGCACCAUUACAACUAUCAGAGUCAGUCACACGUGCCAUCCAAAGUUGAUUGAGCAUUAACACGCUACAUUUUUUUUUAUUUGUACAAAACCAAAAAUGCCCCUAAGACCAAUCAACAAUAACAAAUAAACCAUAAGGAAAUUACAAUCAAGCCCCUAAAUCCAUAGCUAAAAAAUUGAAAUGGCAUGUGUAAUGUUGUAAUUCCAUUGUUCUAUUAAACAUUAAAAUGCAAAAAUACCCUUACAUAGAAAACAUUGAAUUAUUUUAUUCUAAGGUAAAAUACAAUUACUAAAAUAAUCCAAUUUAAUUUUAAAGAGAUUUAUUUCAUGAAAAAAAGAUCACCCUAUCCCGAAACAAACCUAAGAUAAAUUAACUAAAAACAACAAUAUAGGAUCAAUCAUAAUGAAUAAUAAAUUGUUGAAUGGUUGUUUGGAAGUCUGGUUGCGAUUGCUUUUCAAAGUGUUUUUUACUCAAGAUUGCAUUAAAAAAAUGAUUUUUUUUAAAAAAUUAUUUUUGACAUCUUUACAUUAAAAUAAUUUGAAAACACUAAAAAAAUAUAUUAAUUUAAAAUUAAAAAUAACAAAAAACUUUUAAAUUUUUUAAAAACCAUUUUAAAAAUAAUAAACAAACAGAUGUAAAGCACGAUAAUACCAACGUGAAUUUAAUUCUUUUGAAAUUGUAGCUAGCGACAGUACUAGCCAGCUGUUAAAAUAACUUCCAGCUUCACAGGUUGUGACUCGACUGACAAAGCUAGCCAGCUGUUGUCAGUGAAUUGAAACGAUACCAGGGUACCAGGAACUUCCUGGUAGGUGCGCUUACUUUGACUUGACGUUUAGGAGAGCAGUGAGUGGCUGAAGGUCCACAACAACCAAAAAGAUAUCAUCACUAUCUUGUACGUUUGAAUAUAUAAUAAUUCAACGACAUAAACCGAGUUUCAUUAUAAAUUUUUAUUUUUAAAAAAAUAAAAGAAUAUAUUUUAAAAAAAUUAUUUUUUUAUGAUACUAAAUGACUCUCAUUUGAACGUUUUUAAAAAUAUAAUUGUAAUUAUUUUUAAAAGUAUUUUUUAUUUAAAAAAUAAAUUAAUAUAAUAUUUUUUAUAUUAAAAAAAUUAUUUUUGAUAUCAUCACAUUAAAAUGACAUGAAAACACCAGUAAAUAUUAAUUUGAAAUUAAAAAAAAAUUAAUUUUUUUUUUAAAAUAUUUUUAAAAUACAAAACAAACUUUAAAAUCAAUCAAAAUCAAGAUAUUUCUCUCUUCCAUCAAAUGUCAGCAUAAUUUUGCCUUCACGAUUUUAUAUAAAUUAUCCACCUCAUGUUGUUAAAGGUUUGAUAUCGUGGAAUGUUACAGGCUACAAAUUUAUCCACCUUAUUCUCUUCAUUACCUUGAUUGCAUAAACUUAUAUAGAUAAAUAAUUCAGUGCCAUAUCAUAACCACUAUAAUAAGAUUUCACGGUUUUUAUCAAUGGAUAUAAUCUGUUAGUAUAAGAUUCAGACUUUGUCAAUAAUUUUUCACCGACCACAUCACCGAUGGAAAGAAUCCGUCAUCAUCCUUUUUCGUCGGUAAUACCACAUUUCGUUGCUAAUGAGUCGGUAAAAAAAAAUUACCGAUGGUUUACAGGUGAAAAAUGGCGCGUCAAAAAAUUAAAAAUUUCUUUCUGGAAAUAUACAGAUGGAUUUAUUCCGUUAUUGAUAGUGGCAUAUCCAGUAAAUAUUUUUUUAGCUCCCGGUGAAAUGUUGACAGACGGUAUCCGUUUGUAAAUUCGUUGGUGAGUGUGGAAUUUCCACCUCUCUUUAUGAAAUACCGACAUAUUGUAUCUGUCUGUAAAUUCAUCGAUGAGUGUGGCAUUUCCACCACUCUUUGUGAAAUGUCGAUGGAUACAUUCCCUCUGCAAAUCCCUUGGUGGGUAUUUUUAAUUUUUUAAAAAAAAUUAUUUAGAUAUAAUAAUAUAAAAUUAUAUAAAUUAAUAGUAAAAAAACCAAUUAUACAAAAAAAUUUUAUUAAACAUCAAAAAUAAAAAAAAAUAAACUUAAAUAAUAUUCAUUACAAUUGAAUGUGUUUCCAAAAAAAAUAUUAAAUUAGCACAAUGACGGAGAAGGAGGCUGGUUAUUCUUGAAACCAUACAGCCAAAAAGGGACGCACAUGUAUCACCACUCUAUGAUAUCAAGUUCAAGACAAUUUGACGAAGUUGUUCAUAAUUCACCAAGAGUUGAUCGUAUUUGUCAGAGAGAUGAGUUGUGUAUUGCUGCAAGGUCACAAACUCCUUAGAUUAGGUGCUCGAUAUUGAUUGGAAGCUCCUAACAAUUGAGAUACUAUAUGCCGCUUGCAAGUUCUUGGUUGUAGUGUUGGAAAGCAUUUACACCUAAUUUUUAUUGAAUUCAGUAGAUAAUCCUAUCUCCAUUCAUAAAAUCAUAUCAAAAUCCAAAUGAUAGAAGAUUUGUUAAUGGAAUCCAUGUCUGGGUGCAUACAACUAGAAUUUAAUUCUUUUGAAAUUAUAGAGGUCAUGUAGUAGCUAGAGACAAUACUAGCCAGUGAGUGGCUGAAGGUCCACAGCAACCAAAAAGGUAUCAGCACUGUACUCUUGUACGUUUGAAUAUAUAAUUCAACGACUCUCAUUUCAGAUGCAGAAGAAAGCGAUUUGACAAAUGGAUAUUUGGAGACAAAAAUAGACUGGAUUCCUGGAAUGAAAGAUAUUCGUCUGAAGGACCUCCCGACCUUCAUUCGCACAACAGAUCGAAACGACGUUAUGCUAAACUUUGUGAUAAGAAUAAUUGAUAGAGCUUCGAAAGCUUCAGCAGCUCUUGUGAAUACUUUUGACGACUUAGAUCAUGAUGUUCUGGUUGCUCUCUCAUCUAUGUUUCCUCCGAUUUAUUCUGUUGGUCCUCUUAAUUUGCUUCUUGAUCAAACACAGAAUGAUCAUCUAGCAUCAAA